ACGCUCGACACCACGGGGGCAGCAGUAGGGAAUCUUCCACAAUGGGCGCAAGCCUGAUGGAGCAACACCGCGUGAGUGAAGAAGGGUUUCGGCUCGUAAAGCUCUGUUGUUGGAGAAGAACGUGCGUGAGAGUAACUGUUCACGCAGUGACGGUAUCCAACCAGAAAGUCACGGCUAACUACGUGCUAGCAGCCGCGGUAAUCUGAGCGGGCUGGCAAGGC
This 221-nucleotide ribosomal RNA is filed under the name uncultured bacterium. RNAcentral describes it as "partial 16S ribosomal RNA". It matches the Rfam family "Bacterial small subunit ribosomal RNA", at positions 326 to 539 of the family's 1533-position model. The record is from RNAcentral.